Molecule: RNA transcript, 3606 nt
Organism: Erpetoichthys calabaricus (reedfish)
Lineage: Eukaryota; Metazoa; Chordata; Cladistia; Polypteriformes; Polypteridae
Gene: man2c1
Gene name: mannosidase, alpha, class 2C, member 1
Exons: 24
Source: RefSeq, a predicted model, not a curated record
CAGUUGAGUUGAGCAUACAUUUCAUUGGAAACGCGACGUGAUCCUGUGGUGUUGUUCUGCUCUUUAAGUCACUGUCUUUGCAACAUGUAUCACCAGCCAGUCUUAAAAAACCGUCGAACGCUCUUAGAGCGGGCAGAGAAAUUUAUUUCAGACGUGUAUUUUACAGACUGCAACCUGAGGGGCAGGCUCUAUGGUGCUACGUUUCCAGUGAGGUCCCUUUCUGUAUUCUCAACUCCAAAUCGGAUUCCUUUCUCAGAAGCUGAACAGCAGAUUUUCCAGCCAGCUAAAGUUGGUGAUGGCUAUGGACUCACCUGGUGGACUUGUUGGUUUAAAGUUUGUCUUAGUAUUCCAGAUGAAUGGCAUGGGAAAGAGGUUCACUUCUUGUGGGAAAGUGAUGGAGAGGGUAUGGUAUGGUGUGAUGGGCAGCCAGUUCAGGGAUUAACUAAGGAAGGUAGCAAGACAAGCUAUGUUUUAUCUCGAAGCCUUAAAGAAAAUGAAACUCACAACAUUACCUUAUAUGUGGAGCUGGCAUGUAAUGGUUUGUUCGGGGCAGGGAAGGGAUCAAUGAUUGCACCUCCUGACCCUGACAGGAAAUUCUUUGUUCAAAAGGCAGAGCUUGCAGUUUUUAAUUCUACUGUUAAUGACCUGUUAGUGGAUUUUGAGAUGCUGAUUGACACCGUAAAGUUGCUUGGGGAGAAUGACCAGCGUGGAUAUCAGGCACUUUAUGUUGCCAAUGAAAUGGUGAAUGUGUGUGAUGUCAAAAAUCCCAACACAUUCUCUGCAGCUCGCAAGCUUGCCAAGAAAUUUUUCAGUGAGAAGAAUGGGGAUAGUCAACACACAGUCCAUGCUAUGGGCCACUGUCACAUUGACACAGCAUGGCUUUGGCCUUAUGAAGAGACAGUUCGUAAGUGUGCUCGCAGUUGGGUGACAGCUAUCCGUCUGAUGGAAGAAAACCCUAGCUUCAUAUUUACCUGCUCCCAGGCACAGCAGUUUGCAUGGGUGAAGAAUUGGUACCCAGGGUUGUACUCAAGAAUUCAACACUUUGUCAGGAGACAACAGUUUGUACCUGUUGGUGGGACCUGGGUUGAAAUGGAUGGCAACUUGCCUUCUGGAGAGUCUAUGGUCAGACAGUUCCUAGAGGGUCAGAGAUUUUUCCAUCAGGAGUUUGGAAAAUACUGCACCGAGUUCUGGUUACCGGAUACAUUUGGCUACUCUGCUCAGCUACCUCAGAUAAUGCAAAAUUGUGGAAUAACCAGGUUCCUAACUCAGAAACUCAGCUGGAACUUAGUAAACACCUUUCCUCACAACACUUUUUUUUGGGAAGGCAUUGAUGGGUCCAAAGUUCUAACCCACUUUCCUCCUGGCAACUCCUAUGAGAUGAAGUGUAAAGUGGAAGAUUUGCUAAAUACAGUGAGGAAUAACAAGGACAAAGGGAGAGCCAAUCACAGUGCAUUGUUGUUUGGAUUUGGGGAUGGAGGUGGGGGUCCAACGCAGGGAAUGUUGGACCGGCUGGAGCGGGUGAUGGACACUGAUGGAUUGCCCAGAGUCCAAAUAUCCAGCCCUGAUAAGCUUUUUACUGCCUUAGAAGCUAACACUUCCCUUCUGUGCAGCUGGACAGGAGAGCUUUUCUUGGAGCUGCAUAAUGGCACAUAUACAACUCAAGCUCAGAUAAAGCUUGGCAACAGACAGUGUGAAACUUUACUUCAUGAUAUUGAAGUAGCAAGCACUCUGGCUUUGAUAAGAGACAAGAACUUUCUCUACCCUUUGGACCGAUUACACCAUCUCUGGAGAUUAUUACUGCUCAAUCAGUUCCAUGAUGUCAUUCCAGGCAGUUGCAUUAAGUUGGUGGUUGAGGAUGCAAUUAAAUACUAUAAUGAGAUUCGAAAUACUGGUUCUGCUCUGUUGAAGGAAGCACUUCAGGCACUUCUGCCACACAAUCUAGAGAAAAGCUGUCAUGUGGUAUUUAACAGUAUGCCGUGGGAGCGCACUGAAGUCAUCUCAGUACCAGGAGGCAGUGCUGAACCAUUGCUUGCAUUAGUGAAGGUCCCAAGUAUUGGAAUUGCUUCUGUGGAGGAGUCUGUUGAACCAGGCUGUUCUGUUACGGUAUCAACACAGGCUGAUGACAGUGUGAUCCUGGACAAUGGAAUUCUGCGCCUUAUUGUCAACAGGAAUGGAUGUGUCAUAUCUUUGUGCUUGAUUGAUUCUAACAGAGAAGCCAUUUUGAAUGGAUGCAGUGGAAACCAGUUUGUUAUUUUUGAUGACAUUCCUCUUUACUGGGAUGCCUGGGAUGUGAUGGAUUACCAUUUACAGACCAGGAAACCGGUCACUGAGAUAAUUGAGCCAGUGAGGAUUGAGAGUUCUGGAGGUCUGCGGGGCAGUGUCACUUUCUCACUGCGUAUUGGUGAAGCUAGCAAGCUUUUUCAGGAGAUUAUUCUUGAUGCUCAGUGCCCUUAUGUCAAAUUUCGUACAAAGGUAGAUUGGAAAGAAGCACAUAAGUUCUUGAAAGUGGAGUUUCCAGUGCAAGUUCACAGUGCCAAUGCCACAUAUGAGAUACAGUUUGGCCAUCUGCAGAGACCAACACACUGGAACACCUCGUGGGACUGGGCCAGGUUUGAGGUGUGGGGUCACAAAUGGGCGGAUGUGUCUGAACAUGGAUUUGGAGUAGCGUUACUGAAUGACUGCAAAUAUGGGUACUCCGUGCACAGGAAUACACUCACCCUGUCCUUUCAUUACAGAUUAUAUUCACCCCCAUGAGAGUUAAGUAUGAAAGCUAACCUUGGUGUUUAGGUGGAAGAGGAAACAACAUCAGAUUUACAUGAAGUGGCUUGAGCUGUAUACCACGCUAUGUUUGUCCUGAAGCUCUCAUUUCAUCUGCAGAACAGAUUGAUAAGCAUUAUUAAAAACAACCUUAUGUGCAUCAUGCAUACCAUAGCAAGUAAUUUUAGAAAACUGGCAAAGCUACUUGUGGUUUCUGUAUGAAUGAGCUUGUAAAGUGUGACAGGAUGUCAGUAAGAUCAGUAGACAUGUCGAUGACCUGCACGGAUGACAUUGCCUUCAGGCUGCAUUUCAGCUUUUGCACAUGCAUAUUAUCACAGUGCAAUCUCAAAGCCAAGAGGUACAUGACAGCAAAACUCCACUUGAAAGUUACAUCAAGUGCCAAGAGGCAAUAUCUUUAUAAAUUGUGGGCAAUGAAGAAACUCUAAGAAGCUGUAGUUUCAUUACAUACAUUUGUACCCUGAAACAAACACUUACAGGAAUUGAAAGAGGUGUGCUAUUGGCAAGCAAGGACAUAUAUGGCAGGCUGCAGAAGAAGCUUCCUGCAUUCUGUAUAUGAACCUUGGACAGCUAUGUCUUUGUGCCAGGAGCUGACAUAGUAAAGGGGGUGUUGUGGCCUUUUCAAAUAUUGUCUGACCUGAGUCACGUGCUUUUUUGACUUGCUGUGCAACAUGUGCAUUUCAGGUUACGAGCACCAAAGUCUCCUGACGCCACGGCUGACAUUGGAUGGCAUGAGUUCACUUAUGCUGUGAUGCCUCAUCAAGGCUCUUUUCAGGAAGCUGGCGUUAUCCAGUGUGCAUACAACAUGAACUUUCCCCUUCAUUGUGUACC